This 230-nucleotide ribosomal RNA is filed under the name uncultured bacterium. RNAcentral's name for it is "partial 16S ribosomal RNA". It matches the Rfam family "Bacterial small subunit ribosomal RNA", at positions 562 to 791 of the family's 1533-position model. The record is from RNAcentral.
AAAGCGUGCGCAGGCGGUUUUGUAAGUCAGAUGUGAAAUCCCCGAGCUCAACUUGGGAACUGCGUUUGAAACUACAAGGCUAGAGUAUGGUAGAGGGGGGUAGAAUUCCACGUGUAGCAGUGAAAUGCGUAGAGAUGUGGAGGAAUACCAAUGGCGAAGGCAGCCCCCUGGACUAAUACUGACGCUCAUGCACGAAAGCGUGGGGAGCAAACAGGAUUAGAUACCCCAGU